GGGGAAUUGUUCGCAAUGGGCGCAAGCCUGACGACGCAACGCCGCGUGGAGGAUGAAGAUUUUCGGAUCGUAAACUCCUGUCGAGUGGGAAGAAUAGUUUCCGGGCGAAUACCCCUGGUAGCCUGACGGUACCACUAAAGGAAGCCCCGGCCAACUCCGUGCCAGCAGCCGCGGUAAUACGGGGGGGGCAAGCGUUGUUCGGAAUUACUGGGCGUAAAGGGCCAGUAGGCGGCCAACUAAGUCGGACGUGAAAUCCCCAGGCUCAACCUGGGAACUGCGUCCGAUACUGGAUGGCUUGAAUUCGGGAGAGGGAUGCAGAAUUCCAGGUGUAGCGGUGAAAUGCGUAGAUAUCUGGAGGAAUACCGGUGGCGAAGGCGGCAUCCUGGACCGACAUUGACGCUGAACGGCGAAAGCUAGGGGAGCAAAC
RNAcentral lists this ribosomal RNA (427 nucleotides) under uncultured bacterium. RNAcentral's name for it is "bacterial SSU rRNA". It matches the Rfam family "Bacterial small subunit ribosomal RNA", at positions 356 to 773 of the family's 1533-position model. The record is from RNAcentral.